UCGGUGCGUAACUCUUUAUAUAAGAGAUAAUGACGUAUAUAUGAUAGCACGGCUAACUCCGUGCCAGCAGCGCGGUAAUACGGAGGGUGCAAGCGUAUUCGGAAUCACUGGGCGUAAAGGGUGCGUAGGCGGUUUGGAAAGUCAGAUGUGAAGCCUACAGCUUAACUGUAGAACUGCAUUUGAAACUUCCAGACUAGAAUACUGAAGGGGCAGAUGGAAUUAGUGGUGUAGGGGUAAAAUCCGUAGAUAUCACUAGGAAUACCGAAAGCGAAAGCGAUCUGCUGGGAAGUUAUUGACGCUGAGGCACGAAAGCGUGGGGAGCAAACGGGAUUAGAUACCCCGGUAGUCCACGCCCUAAACGAUGAAUGCUAGUCGUCGGAAAGCUCGUCUUUUCGGUGAUGCAGUUAACACAUUAAGCAUUCCGCCUGGGGAGUACGGUCGCAAGAUUAAAACUCAAAGGAAUAGACGGGGACCCGCACAAGUGGUGGAGCAUGUGGUUUAAUUCGAAGAUACGCGAAGAACCUUACCUAGCCUUGACAUUGAUAGAAUCUGGUAGAGAUACCGGAGUGCCUGCUUGCAGGAACUUGAAAACAGGUGCUGCACGGCUGUCGUCAGCUCGUGUCGUGAGAUGUUGGGUUAAGUCCCGCAACGAGCGCAACCCUCGUCGUUAGUUGCUAACAGUUCGGCUGAGCACUCUAGCGAGACUGCCUUCGCAAGGAGGAGGAAGGUGAGGACGACGUCAAGUCAUCAUGGCCCUUAUGGCUAGGGCUACACACGUGCUACAAUGGGGCGUACAGAGAGUUGCGAUACCGCGAGGUGGAGCUAAUCUCAUAAAGCGUCUCUCAGUUCGGAUUGAUCUCUGCAACUCGAGAUCAUGAAGCUGGAAUCACUAGUAAUCGUAGAUCAGCAAUGCUACGGUGAAUACGUUCCCGGGUCUUGUACUCACCGCCCGUCACACCAUGGGAGUUGAUUUCACCCGAAAUCGGGAAGCAAACCUUCGGGAUGCUACCGCUUACGGUGGAAUUAGCGACUGGGGUGAAGUCGUAACAA
Molecule: ribosomal RNA, 1050 nt
Filed under: uncultured bacterium
Lineage: Bacteria
Description: bacterial SSU rRNA
Rfam family: Bacterial small subunit ribosomal RNA
Source: RNAcentral